Molecule: non-coding RNA, 177 nt
Organism: Drosophila kikkawai
Lineage: Eukaryota; Metazoa; Arthropoda; Insecta; Diptera; Drosophilidae
Source: RefSeq, a predicted model, not a curated record
UUUACGUGGUAGUAACGUUUCCAAGUGAAAAGCAUCGCUGGAAGGGCUUCAUGCCACGUUAGAUAAACGUCCUGCUCCCCAGCUUACUACCAAUUUUGCGAUUAAAGGGAGCUGCAAUGAUAAUGUUCGUGGCGAUUGAAGAGAUUAGAUCGUGACUGCUGAUAGUUGCAUACAUUU